CGGCUAGUAUCGCGAGAUCAGGAAGGUGGCCGAGUGUGUCGCCGCGGCCAUCAGGCACUUCUCCUUCCUGCCCUUGUAUGAAGAAGGAUGUGUUUGCUUCCCCUUGUGCCAUGAUUGUAAAUUUCCUGAGGCCUCCUCAGCCCUGCAGAACUGGGGUUAUAGCCAUGUGACUGAUCUUCGUCCAAGAAUAUGUAAAGAAAAAGUGUUGAGUUGGCUUUUAGGGCUAGAGCAAUGUAUCUUAGGCUCACUUAAGGAAGCUGUAGAGAUGAGCCCAAGGAGGGAAACCAGAAGAGCCCCCCAGGCUCACCAGUUGUUUGUUGGCUCCCUACAAACAUGUCAUUCAAGUGGCUAAUCUUACAACAGCACAAAUUCAUCUAACCAGAAAGAGAAGAGGAGGCUCCAAAGGCACUUGACUACUGAGCAUCACCCUGGACGUGUACAAGUCUGCGUCCUUAUUGUUUUCUUCAUUGGGCCGAACUUUCUGGUCCUCAUCCAACAGCUCUUCUAUCACGUGUUCGAAAGUGUCAGCCAAUGAUGUCAAGCCUCUUGAACCUGCCUUGGGCCCAUUCACGCUCUCCAGAGUCCCAUGGGUCCGCACACCUGGAGAUACUCUAUUAUAGCAAAGAAGAAAGAUAAUUUCAUUGAGCCAUCCUGUUUUACAGGAAAUUCUGCAAGUGGCAACGUGGGUCCAUUCCGUGUGUGUCACUAGAGCUGGCGCAAGCCCAUGGCCAUGGUGAGGCAGCGUUUCCACUGGAACUAAUCUGAUACCUGCACCAGCUCUUGCAACUGUGCAGUGUUCCCACUGCAAACUACGGAUGGGGUAAAAGACUGCUCACCUCCUAUUUCUCAUCUAAUCUCACACACUCUGUUUGAUGAGGCUAUGGAGAAACAGGUCUUCUCAUACACUAAAGGUGGGAGUACAAACAAUUCAAGCCCUGUGCAGGACAAUUAGGCAAUACCUAUCAAAAUUAUACAUGAUUUUUCCUGCUGACCCAGCAAUUCCACUUCUGGGAAUAAUUGACAGAUAUAGGUGCAUAUGUACAAAAUGAUGGAAAGCUCUCUGGUAUAUAUUAGUAAGUGAUAAAACAAGGUGUAAAAUAGUGUAUAUAUGGCUACUACCUUUUGUUUUAAAAAUGGGGGAAAAUGGUGGAGCUUGCGGUGAGCCGAGAUCGUGCCACUGCACUCCAGCCUGGGCGACAGAGCGAGACUCCGUCUCAAAAAAAAAACAGGGUGGGGUGGGGGGGAAAUAAUAGUACAUACUCAUAUUUACCUGUAUCUAUAUAAAACACACUAUCAAGGAUUCACAAGAAACUAAUACAAAUGAUCACCUUAUAGAUGGUAUGUAUUGGGGGAUACUGAGGUGAGCAGGGUAUAAGUGGGGCAAGACUUUUCAGUGUAAACUUCUUUUAAAUUUUAUUUUGAUUUUUGAAUAAUGUAAAUUAACUGUCAAAUAAUUAAAUUAAAAAUAACCAAUUUAUUAACAAAA
RNAcentral lists this long non-coding RNA (1486 nucleotides) under Homo sapiens (human). Its description in RNAcentral is "BDNF antisense RNA". Lineage: Eukaryota; Metazoa; Chordata; Mammalia; Primates; Hominidae. The record is from RNAcentral.